UUUGGGCAUUUAGAGGAAGUAAAAGUCGUAACAAGGUCUCCGGUGGUGAACCAGCGGGGGGAUCAUUACCGAGUUAUUACUCCAAACCCAUUGUGAAUCUUACCUUCUGUUCUGUUGUCUCGGCGGCGGUCCGCAGGCCUCCUACCCCUGUGAAUGGGGGAAAAAUAGGGGACCGGCUCCCCGCCGGCAGCACCAAACUCUUGGAUUUAUAGCGGAUUACAAAUCUCUGAUUAUAAGCAAGAAAAUGAAUCAAAACUUUCAACAACGGAUCUCUUGGUUCUGGCAUCGAUGAAGAACGCAGCGAAAUGCGAUAAGUAAUGUGAAUUGCAGAAUUCAGUGAAUCAUCGAAUCUUUGAACGCACAUUGCGCCCGGUAGCAAUCUGCCGGGCAUGCCUGUCCGAGCGUCAUUUCGACCCUCGAGCCCACUGCUCUAGCAGCAGCCCCGGCUCGGUGUUGGGGCGCUACAGGAGGUGUCUUUCGGGACCCGCCUGUAGGCCCUGAAAUACAGUGGCGGUCCCGCCGCGGCGCCCCCUGCGUAGUAGUUCUCACAAACUCGCUUCGGGUCCCGGCGGAGGCCAGCCGUCAAACCACACUCUCCAGAUGGUUUGACCUCGGAUCAGGUAGGGUUACCCGCUGAACUUAAGCAUAUCAAUAAGCGGAGG
Molecule: ribosomal RNA, 662 nt
Filed under: uncultured fungus
Lineage: Eukaryota; Fungi
Description: eukaryotic LSU rRNA
Rfam family: 5.8S ribosomal RNA (bases 254-407)
Source: RNAcentral